This 106-nucleotide small nuclear RNA is filed under the name Dasypus novemcinctus (nine-banded armadillo). Lineage: Eukaryota; Metazoa; Chordata; Mammalia; Cingulata; Dasypodidae. The record is from RNAcentral.
GUGCUCACUUCAGCAGCACAUAUACUAAAAUUAGGACAAUACGGAAAAGAUAGCAUUAUCCCUGUGCAAGGAUGACAGACAAAUUCAUGAAGCAUUCCAUAUUUUU